ACGCCUUUGUUGGCACGAUAAUCACUUGUUAGUAGGUUCUUGGGGUCGAACAGUUUCAUGGCUUCUGCCUACAGUUUCUAUUUUUUGCCAAUCAAGCUGUUGUUCUUGGGAUGAUCGUCUUGUCUGUACCAGGAAUAGAGGGGAAAAAACCCUAAUCGGGUCUUAUCCAAUCGUCGACUGCAUGAAGGAGAAACAUGGGACUGGCACAUGGCAUAGUGGACUCCGAUACUUGGAUAGAGGGGAUGGACUCAGUCUUGACAUCCAUGGUUGAGAAUGCUGGAGCAGGAGGAUCUGAGAGGAGUGUGGACGAUGUAUUUUUGCUACAGCCAGGCGCAUGAGACAUUCUUCUUUCAGUCUAUUAAGUUGUUUGUAUCUAUCAUUGUAUGAAAAGGCAAAUAAGGAUAAACUGGUGUGUGAUGUUUUUGAGUUUGGCAAACUCACUAGGAGCUUCUUUGUCAAUUAUGGGAAUAAAAACUCUGGUAUGUUUGUUUGAUUUGAUACUUAUGUUGUACGGGAACCAUGUCCUACUAGUUCUAUAAAUGAUUAUCGUUUUUUUUUUACUUUUA
Long non-coding RNA from Phalaenopsis equestris, 566 nucleotides. RefSeq lists it as uncharacterized. The transcript is spliced from 2 exons. Lineage: Eukaryota; Viridiplantae; Streptophyta; Magnoliopsida; Asparagales; Orchidaceae. The record is from RefSeq and is a predicted model, not a curated record.